AAAUUUGAUAUUGCGCAUGCGCCAUGUAGAAAACUGUUCCGACUAUUCGCUCUGCCUUGGCGCUGCUGUCGCCGUGUUUACAAGUUUUAUUUUUUGUAAAAGCGAUAGUUAUUGUUUGAAUAUUUAUCCCGUGCGAAAGAAAUGCUUAAAAAAUAAACGGAGAGAGAGAAAAAUUUAUACGGUCAGUUCUGACAAUUCGCCUGCGCUACCGCUAAAGACGACGCUCCUUCCUAAUUUGAAAUAAUGGCGUUGAAACGAAGGACGUUAACUGGUCAUAGGGAAAAGAAAAGGAGAUGUACUGAAGCACGUGUUCAAUAUGGACAGGAAAAAACCGUUUC
Molecule: long non-coding RNA, 338 nt
Filed under: Androctonus crassicauda
Lineage: Eukaryota; Metazoa; Arthropoda; Arachnida; Scorpiones; Buthidae
Source: RNAcentral